CGAGUGGCGGACGGGUGAGUAAUGUCUGGGAAACUGCCCGAUGGAGGGGGAUAACUACUGGAAACGGUAGCUAAUACCGCAUAACGUCGCAAGACCAAAAGGGGACCUUCGGGCCUCUUGCCAUCGGAUGUGCCCAGAUGGGAUUAGCUAGUAGGUGGGGUAACGGCUCACCUAGGCGACGAUCCCUAGCUGGUCUGAGAGGAUGACCAGCCACACUGGAACUGAGACACGGUCCAG
RNAcentral lists this ribosomal RNA (237 nucleotides) under uncultured bacterium. Its description in RNAcentral is "partial 16S ribosomal RNA". It matches the Rfam family "Bacterial small subunit ribosomal RNA", at positions 92 to 334 of the family's 1533-position model. The record is from RNAcentral.